Non-coding RNA from Cadophora malorum, 99 nucleotides. The record is from the annotation of a GenBank genome assembly. NCBI's taxonomy places the organism in Eukaryota, Fungi, Ascomycota, Leotiomycetes, Helotiales, Ploettnerulaceae.
GGCGCGAUGGCAGAGCGGUCUAAUGCGAUAGACUAGAAUUGACCGAUUCUAUGUCAUCUAUUCUCUUCGGAGGCGCAGGUUCAAAUCCUGCUCGCGUCG